Molecule: long non-coding RNA, 787 nt
Organism: Sarcophilus harrisii (Tasmanian devil)
Lineage: Eukaryota; Metazoa; Chordata; Mammalia; Dasyuromorphia; Dasyuridae
Exons: 5
Source: RefSeq, a predicted model, not a curated record
CACAGAAUAUUGGAACCCAAAGAAUCCAGUCCAGUCUUAUAUUUCUAAGGAGACGCACAGACAAAAAAAGUAACUAGUGCAAGGUUGGACCACUAAGUAGUGGCAGAGUGAGGAUCAGAACCAGGAUCUCUCAAUAUCAGGGCUUUUACUAAAUCAGAAUAAAUGUGCUGCUCUUUCUUUAAAGCAUGAAUUAGCUCUUCAUACUCAGAUCCUUGCUUUUCCUAGAAAUGACAACGGACACGACAUUAAGUGAUACUACAAAGUUAUAAAUCAUGAAAUGCUAUAGUCUCUGAAGAAUUAAACAUGAAAGUUAGUGAAAAGAAGAACAGAGAAGCACCAGAAAUCCAUCAACCAGCAUGAGUGUGAGAAAUGCAUACUAGAGAUGUUCUAAGUCUAACUGCCCUAAAAUUAAAACUGCUCUCUGUCAAAGCACACUAGAUUAAGCCAGGCGGGUGAAAGGUACAACUUUAAUUAGAUUGUUGGUCUUCAGCCAGCAGAUAUGCCUCCUCGGAGUAAAAACAGCCAACUACCGAAGAACACACUUGUCAGACAUCAGAACAAAAAGGCAAGUGGAAGUUUCAGAGGGAGCCAAGGAUGUGUGAUUUCUGGCAGCUCCCCAUUUCCAGCACAAAGAAGCUAUGACACUAAGUGAAGCUAAGAAAUAGAUCCGGAAAUACUGAAUGAAAAGGCUCCUGAACUUGCUUUACAGUGAUUUGGAUCCCUCUGCUGGUAUAAAAUUACAUAACAAUGCUUUAAAAAAAUUUUUUUAAUAGAUUUUUUUAAUAGA